CCCUCACGAUGGUAACACCUAUCAGGUGGGUGUAGCUUCACUGAAGGACUUUCUGAGCCUGAUGGAUGUGCAGUGGUCCUCAGCAGCCUGGGCUG
Molecule: non-coding RNA, 95 nt
Organism: Sus scrofa (pig)
Lineage: Eukaryota; Metazoa; Chordata; Mammalia; Artiodactyla; Suidae
Source: Rfam